CAGGGUCACAGGGUCACAGGGUCACAGGGUCACAGGGUCAUCCAUUGGCGUUUUCCCAUUAGCCCUUUUGGCCGUGCCGAGCGGUACUGUUGCAUACGGUGCAGAUUUGCGUUGCCACUGCCAUUUUAAACACGCGUAGCUGUGCUGUGCCGUAACUCGCUCGAGAUGGAUCGUCGAAGAGUUCGGGCCAGAGUGAGCCCGCCCCGAAGUUGGCAGCGGUGACGUCAGCCCCGGUGGCUGUUUGGAGCGAGAAGUUGUGGAGAUAUAGACCUAUUAAAAUACAAUAAACUUGGCGGUCAUACACCUAUCCUUGUCUAUGAGACGCAUCGCCACGAAGAGAAUGGCCAGAGUUCUCAACAGCCUGAUUCUUUAUUAUUGUUCGUUCCUGUAAUUACGCAUGCCUAAUUAAAAAGGGUAAUGAAAGUUUGAUAGAAGUGCGUUCCGCAGAGAUGUUAUGCUGAUGAUAUUCUCUUACAAAACAAAAAAGCUUGCUGAGAAAGGACAGAUCUCUUGGAAAUUGGAAAAUAUUUCACACCAUUAGGUCGAUAUUCAACAUAUUUUUUUCCUUGUGAAAAUAUUUGUGAAACAUUGUCUAAUGUGUAAACAGGACUUAUCCGAACUAAAUCUGGUAUCAACAAGCUUUUGAGAUUAGGAGGCAAAAAAGGGAAGCACGUCAUCUGUUAAAGCUCCACCUUCGGCGGAAUAGCCCGCUUGUAAUGGAAAUGCAAAUCUGCCGAGACGAGUCAAACCCUGCCGAGACGAUGUAGCAUAGUAUAGUUGAAAAAACACACUGAUUUGUGCUUAGCUUAGCUAGCUUCUGGUACAUUUUCUUGAGUCAGUCUGCUUUGCUCCUUUUUCAUUAUACAAAGCACAUGCCCGUGCUUUGUAUAAUGACCGAUGGAAACAAUUAGUUUUGGCCGCUUCCAGGGCUAUCGCGAGUAUGCUGCCACCUAAGGGUAGUGUGUGUGUGUGUGUGUGUGUGUGUGUGUGUGUGUGUGUGUGUGUGUGUGUGUGUGUGUGUGUGUGUGUGUGUGUGUGUGUGUGUGUGUGUGUGUGU
Gadus macrocephalus (Pacific cod) is the source of this 1057-nucleotide long non-coding RNA. RefSeq lists it as uncharacterized. The record is from RefSeq and is a predicted model, not a curated record. The transcript has 2 exons. NCBI's taxonomy places the organism in Eukaryota, Metazoa, Chordata, Actinopteri, Gadiformes, Gadidae.